Molecule: long non-coding RNA, 823 nt
Organism: Helianthus annuus (common sunflower)
Lineage: Eukaryota; Viridiplantae; Streptophyta; Magnoliopsida; Asterales; Asteraceae
Exons: 4
Source: RefSeq, a predicted model, not a curated record
UGAGCGGGUUAUUUCUAAUUUUUUAUCCGGCGCGCCAUCAUACAUUAUCCACGUUUCACAUAACCGACCUCUCCCCAAAUUAGGGUUUCAAUCCAAUUUUACUUAAAGAAAGAUAUUAACCUCCCUGUACACCAUUCCAGGUCUAAAUCAAAGAGCACAACCAUCGACCAUGUCUGCUCCAUAUAUUAGGGUUUUGUUACUUCACCAUUCCAUGGACACAACUGAAGCAUAGAACAUAUCAUUGCCAUUUGCUUGCAGUCACUGAGUUCUUAUCAUUGGGGUCUCUCAAAAGCUAUUGGAACACUCUAGUUAAUUAACUAUAUAUAAAAAUAGAUAAAUGGAUGAGAAGUUUUGUUGGUCAACCAAAAGAAGCAGCCAUGCCCGAGCAGCCACAUAGUCGAUAUAAUUAGCGAAUGAUAAUGUUGAGUUAUUUAUUACUUUUACAACUAAAGAUGGGAUGGUGGAUGGCAACAUGCUGCGAUGGCUGCAAUGGUGGAUGGCAACGGUGCUGCGAGCAGCCUCGUAGUCGAUCCAUAGGUCAAUAAUUGAAAUGUAAACUUGGUUAUCAAGGAGAGCUCGUUAAGGAAAAGGAUGAAGAAAAUGAAAGGUUAUGUGGAAUUAUUACGGGGCUAUUGGCUGAAAAAGAAAAAGAUAACGUGGAUAAACAUACGAUGCUCAAUAGAAUGUCAUAAAUUGAAGCUUUGUUAACAGCUAUUGUUCUAAGAUAGGCUAUAAACACUUGGUUUUUAAUGUUUCUAUGUUUAUCAUAUUAGGAUAAUUUCAGUUAUUUGAUAUUUUAGUUGGUAUUUUUUUUAUAAGAAUA